Thalassophryne amazonica is the source of this 138-nucleotide long non-coding RNA. RefSeq lists it as uncharacterized. The record is from RefSeq and is a predicted model, not a curated record. NCBI's taxonomy places the organism in Eukaryota, Metazoa, Chordata, Actinopteri, Batrachoidiformes, Batrachoididae. The transcript has 3 exons.
UGCGCCUUGGUUUGUGCAAACCAGUCAGCAGUUACAGAAGCAUGACUUUGAGCCAUCAAGUGUGAAAAAACUUCCAGCAGCAGCGGACAUUUGUGUGUGAACAGCUUUGAUCCACAGAGGUAUACUGCAUUUUUUUCU